AGUGAACGCUGGCGGUAGGCCUAACACAUACAAGUCGAACGGCAGCACAGUAAGAGCUUGCUCUUACGGGUGGCGAGUGGCGGACGGGUGAGGAAUACAUCGGAAUCUACUUUUUCGUGGGGGAUAACGUAGGGAAACUUACGCUAAUACCGCAUACGACCUACGGGUGAAAGCAGGGGAUCUUCGGACCUUGCGCGAUUGAAUGAGCCGAUGUCGGAUUAGCUAGUUGGCGGGGUAAAGGCCCACCAAGGCGACGAUCCGUAGCUGGUCUGAGAGGAUGAUCAGCCACACUGGAACUGAGACACGGUCCAGACUCCUACGGGAGGCAGCAGUGGGGAAUAUUGGACAAUGGGCGCAAGCCUGAUCCAGCCAUACCGCGUGGGUGAAGAAGGCCUUCGGGUUGUAAAGCCCUUUUGUUGGGAAAGAAAAGCAGCAGGUUAAUACCCCGCUGUUCUGACGGUACCCAAAGAACAAGCACCGGCUAACUUCGUG
RNAcentral lists this ribosomal RNA (492 nucleotides) under uncultured bacterium. RNAcentral's name for it is "partial 16S ribosomal RNA". It matches the Rfam family "Bacterial small subunit ribosomal RNA", at positions 29 to 507 of the family's 1533-position model. The record is from RNAcentral.